AGAAUCAACGCUGGCGGCGUGCCUAACACAUGCAAGUCGAACGAGAAAGUGGAGCAAUCCAUGAGUAAAGUGGCGACCGGGUGAGUAACACGUGACUAACCUACCCUACAGUGGGGGAUAACUCCGGGAAACCGGGGCUAAUACCGCAUAACAUCGUAAGAUCAAAGGAGCAAUUCGCUGAAGGAGGGGGUCGCGGCUGAUUAGUUAGUUGGUGAGGUAACGGCUCACCAAGACGAAGAUCAGUAGCCGGCCUGAGAGGGCGCACGGCCACACUGGAACUGAAACACGGUCCAGACUCCUACGGGAGGCAGCAGUGGGAAUUUUGCGCAAUGGGGGAAACCCUGACGCAGCAACGCCGCGUGGAGGAUGAAGUCCCUUGGGAUGUAAACUCCUUUCGAUCGGGACGAUUAUGACGGUACCGGAAGAAGAAGCACCGGCUAACUCUGUGCCAGCAGCCGC
RNAcentral lists this ribosomal RNA (459 nucleotides) under uncultured bacterium. RNAcentral describes it as "SSU rRNA". It matches the Rfam family "Bacterial small subunit ribosomal RNA", at positions 26 to 518 of the family's 1533-position model. The record is from RNAcentral.